Molecule: small nuclear RNA, 107 nt
Organism: Hippopotamus amphibius kiboko
Lineage: Eukaryota; Metazoa; Chordata; Mammalia; Artiodactyla; Hippopotamidae
Source: RefSeq, a predicted model, not a curated record
GUGCUCACUUCAGCAGCUCACAUACUAAAAUUGGAAUGCUUCAGAGAAGAUUAGCAUGACCCCUGUGCAAAGAUGACUUGAAAAUUCAUGAAGUAUUCCAUUUUUUU